Molecule: ribosomal RNA, 253 nt
Filed under: uncultured bacterium
Lineage: Bacteria
Description: partial 16S ribosomal RNA
Rfam family: Bacterial small subunit ribosomal RNA
Source: RNAcentral
UACGUAGGUGGCAAGCGUUGUCCGGAUUUACUGGGCGUAAAGAGCGCGCAGGCGGUCGUAUAAGUCGAAUGUGAAAGCCCCUGGCUCAACUAGGGAGAGUCAUUCGAUACUGUUCGACUCGAAGGCAGGAGAGGGAAGUGGAAUUCCGGGUGUAGUGGUGAAAUGCGUAGAUAUCCGGAGGAACACCAGUGGCGAAGGCGGCGCUCUGGCUCGCAACUGACGCUCAGACACGACAGCAUGGGGAGCGAACGGG